UCCUAGCCGUAAACGAUGGGAACUAGGUAGGGGAAUUGCCUAUGAAUUUCUCUGCCGGAGCUAAUGUGUUAAGUUCCCCGCCUGGGGAGUACGCUCGCAAGGGUAAAACUCAAAGGAAUUGACGGGGGCUCACACAAGCGGUGGAGCAUGUGGUUUAAUUCGAAGCAACGCGAAGAACCUUACCCGGCCUUGACAUGCACGGAUUAGCCUUAUGAAAGUAGGGUAACAGCUCU
Molecule: ribosomal RNA, 233 nt
Filed under: uncultured bacterium
Lineage: Bacteria
Description: partial 16S ribosomal RNA
Rfam family: Bacterial small subunit ribosomal RNA
Source: RNAcentral